AAGAAAGAAACCUGGAGUUUAAAGU
Molecule: microRNA, 25 nt
Filed under: Mus musculus (house mouse)
Lineage: Eukaryota; Metazoa; Chordata; Mammalia; Rodentia; Muridae
Description: mmu-miR-7661-5p
Source: miRBase by way of RNAcentral